Daphnia pulicaria is the source of this 960-nucleotide long non-coding RNA. RefSeq lists it as uncharacterized. NCBI's taxonomy places the organism in Eukaryota, Metazoa, Arthropoda, Branchiopoda, Diplostraca, Daphniidae. The transcript is spliced from 6 exons. The record is from RefSeq and is a predicted model, not a curated record.
GAAAUUAAACCUGUUGAUGAAACCUCCGCUACUCGCCAGUCGCCACCGGAGGGCUACUCUUCGCCAAUAAUCGUUCCAUAUCCACUUUUCCACAAAUUACGUUUGUAUUUCAAGACGCUCAAUUGUGGGAGGCAGUUAGUUAUCUCUGGUGAGAUUUCGUACGUCAAACUCAAACCAGUCAAACGUCAGAAGAAAUUUUUGAAUUUGUUCCACGAAUUUUUGUGUUAUAGCAUGCCGUCACUUCUAGCUUCUAGCAUGUUUCUAGCUUGGGACACAGCUUGGGAUCCAAAUACAUUUCCAUGAAAAGUCUUCACAACAGGUUUACAUACUGCCGCUAUGACACACUGGAUCAUUAGUUGUUGAAGCCCUUCUCAGAACAAGUUCUGUGUUGCUCUCUAUUAUUUGUACAAUAUUCUCAAUAUUUUUUUGUAAGAGAAAUACUUUAAGUAAUGUCUAUAGUUAUAUACCUUGUCAGAUACUACAUUUGCUGCCAUCUGUUCUGUGGACAAGACAUUGCUGCCAGUUAAGAGGUUGUUGUGAACAUCACUUGGGUUGUUAUUAAGGAAAAUGAUUGAUUAGAGGUUUGUCCCUCACUGAUUUUAAAUCAGGUUAACCCCUCGGCACUGUGCCAUAUCCAUUGGUGGAAAAUGAAAAUAUACAGAGUUGGAUUGACCUGGAGUAUAUGGAUUAUCAGUCUGGUAAAACUAUGAACUUCUUUGUUGCUGCCCAACGUACACAUGGAUUUGAUGCAGCCAGCUGAGGGCUUCAACUCUUGUUUAGUGUUUUAUGUUCGCGGUGUUUUAUGUUCGCGUUGUUGCUGUGUGAUGUGGCACGUUGUUGAAGCCUAUGCUGGUGAAAGAUCUUUCUUUUCUACAUCAAGUUCAAUUGACCGUUCCUUGGUGCUGAUGUUGUGUUACCGAAGUUGCAUCAUAUUUUGUUAAAUUGUCAUCGUGACUAUUU